GUCGAGCUGGGUAUCACUAGCUUGUAACCCAAGUGGGGGCAUCAAGGUGAUGGAACAUGGCUAUGGUUGUGUUUGGCUUGGAUGGUGGUUGCACCAUGUUGGCGUGCCCACUCCAAGUUGAGAGUUGAGGCAUGGUGCUUGGGCUAAGGCUCUGGUUUCAUGACUCAUAGACAAGAGGGCAAAGCGUGAGGCUAGUUUCACAGAGCAGCGAACACCUCUGGCUCCUAACAGUGGAAGGAUCACAUGCUACUGCACUUUCAUCCCGCUAGCCAAGCUACUUGAACCAUCACUUUUU
RNAcentral lists this signal recognition particle RNA (295 nucleotides) under Lupinus albus (white lupine). RNAcentral describes it as "Protozoan signal recognition particle RNA". It matches the Rfam family "Plant signal recognition particle RNA". Lineage: Eukaryota; Viridiplantae; Streptophyta; Magnoliopsida; Fabales; Fabaceae. The record is from RNAcentral.